This 254-nucleotide ribosomal RNA is filed under the name uncultured prokaryote. RNAcentral's name for it is "partial 16S ribosomal RNA". It matches the Rfam family "Bacterial small subunit ribosomal RNA", at positions 524 to 776 of the family's 1533-position model. The record is from RNAcentral.
UACGGAGGGUGCGAGCGUUGUUCGGAAUUAUUGGGCGUAAAGCGCACGUAGGCGGCUCGAUAAGUCUCUUGGUGAAAUGCCGGGGCUCAACCCCGUGCAUGCCGGGGAUACUGACGAGCUGGAGACAGGUAGAGGCAAGUGGAAUUCCGGGUGUAGCGGUGGAAUGCGUAGAGAUCCGGAAGAACACCGGUGGCGAAGGCGGCUUGCUGGACCUGGUCUGACGCUGAGGUGCGAAAGCGUGGGGAGCGAACAGG